GUGUUGUGCGAACUUCAUGCAGCGUAGCGCAGCGCGUAAUCGCCUGUGACUCUGUAAUCACUUCAUAUACGGUCAUUGUGAGGGACGGCGCGUACGCAGUCCCAACUACCAAAAAUUAUGCGUCCGAGAUAUCCACAUUAGGGAUACUCGCAGGGGUCAACCCGAUCUGAUGUGCAAUGACCAGGCCUCGCCCUGGAGGAACCGCCCAAGUGAUCACGGUUAACCUCCACGCCAGGUAAGUAU
Non-coding RNA from Cinara cedri, 243 nucleotides. The record is from the annotation of a GenBank genome assembly. NCBI's taxonomy places the organism in Eukaryota, Metazoa, Arthropoda, Insecta, Hemiptera, Aphididae.